CCCCCUCUAGGUGAUAGAUACAAUCUAGAUAGAUCCUUGGGCUCCUCAAAACUUUCAGUUCCUUAUUUUGCUUAGUUGCAUACCCUUUAUAAAUCAUCUUUUGUCUUUGAUGAUGUUAGUAUUAUGAACAUGAUAAAUGUUGUAAAGAGAGGUUAUGGUUUAAUAUAAAAAGCUUAUAUUUGGAGGAAAUAUUAUGUUCAUUUUGAGAUCAUGUGACAUAUAAAAAAAAUGAUGAAAAGAAUAUAAAUAUAAGAGUUGAAUGCAUGUAAGUGAUUGAAAGUUAAUCCUUAUACUUGUAUAAUGUGUAGUUUAGUACUUUCACUUUUGGCUAUUGCUUGUCCUCGUGUAAGCCAUGCAUAUCUUUGUUCCGCUGUGUAGAAAUUAUAUAUACAUGAUCUAUACUUGUGUUGAGUCUUAGGCGGACAGGAGAGGUGCUGUCUGUUCGGCAUCUGUUCGAUAGACCCGAACCGACCAAAUGGGCCGGUCCUGGGGGGUGACAAAUAUAAUGGUAUCAGAGCCUAAAAGUGAAAGUAUAGGAUGGACCUAGAGACCCUUAGGAAUGGAAAACCUUAAGAAUUUAGAAAAUAUGAGUGACGUAGAAUCAAAGUAUAGCGAAAGCUUCAUGAUUGGGUUAAUGUUAGUAAGUCUCUAAUGUUGUUAGGGGUUAAUCCAAGUUGAUAUUCGUUCUCUACUUCUUGUGUUGUGUUCGGCGGCCGACGACAUAAUGCUUUGGAAUGAGAAUGAAUACACUUGUUUGCUUUCGCCGGAUUGGGUUUGUUUGAGUCUGUUGGUCGUGUAACUAACAUCAAUUGCUACAUUUCAGGAAGCGAUGCCUCGUGGUAGACCCCGAACAAGGUCGAGGCCAGAGGAGCCGAAUGCGGCCCCCGAGCAAUCCGGAGCAAGUGGCGACGGGAAGCUUCGGGAGCAAGUGUCCGCGCUUAUUGGAGUAGUGCGCCAACAAGCGGAAUCCGUUCAACGCCAGGGGAAGCAGAUUCAAAGGCUUCAAGAGGCCUUGGAGCGACAGCAGGUGACGGCGGCUCAAAUGAGGGCCGAGCACCCUGCACCCCCUGUAGUCGUGCCGACUAUGGUGGAGGGCAUGGCCGCGGCGGCUGUGCCAGUCACGGCGGUGCCGGCCGGUUCGGAAACCUCAAAUCCCGAUAGUGCGGCGGCAGAGGCAGAGCGAGAGCGUGCACUUGCAGCUCUCGUUAUGUUCAAGAAAUUCAACCCACCCGUGUUCGACGGGGAGAAAGUGGAGCCGUCGAUGGUGGAGUCAUGGAUUGACUCGAUGGAGACGCUCUUCAAGGAUAUUUAUACCUUGGAGAAGGACAAGGUGCACCUCGCCACCCAUUGUUUGGAGAAGGCGGCGAAGGUGUGGUGGAAGCGGGUGAAGCGCGAUCGAUCCCCCGACCAUCCGCCUACGAUUUGGGAGGAGUUCCGGAGGUUAAUGUUCGCGAACUACCUCCCCGAUACCAAGAAGCGGAAGUUGCAAGAUAAAUUCCGCAAGUUAAGGCAAGGUGAUCGAUCGGUGGGGGACUAUGAGCAAGAGUUCUCCCACAUUAUCGAUUGCAUCCUGGAGGUUGUUCGAGAUGACCGGGAUCGGGCCGACUGGUUCUUGUGAGGACUUCGGCCAGAGAUUUAUAAGGCCGUGCAAUUGUUCAAGCUCACGACCUUUGCGGAGGUCGUCGCUCGAGCGUUCUGGGCGGAGCACGGCAAUGCCUACGCGCGAGAAGAGCGCGGGUCUAUGGACAAGGAAAGAGACAAAGGCAAGAAGCGGACUGCGAGUGGUGCUGAGGGCCGGUCGCAUGCAAAGAAGUACCCUUGGUAUCCCCGGCAGCAGUCGAGGAGUUGGAGGUCUUCUCAUUGUGCUAUUUACGACCGUGAUAAUCGACCGUCGGGAUGCCUGCAGCGCGAUGGAAAGUGUUACAAGUGCAGCCAAGCGGGCAUAUGGCCCGGGAGUACCCGAGUUGGACGUCGUCUACACCGACGGCCGCAUCAGUUCCUUCUACCCCGAGACAGCUCGCGGGGUUGCCACCGGCUAUGUCGGCUCGACGCGCAUCAGCACUGCAUCAGCCGGAGGGAUCUCGAGCACCGAGUGGGCCAGUUUUUACCACUAAGGUGGAGGAGCCUACAGUUCCAGAUGAUGUGGUGGCAAGUAUUAUUUUAAUUAAAGGCACUAGAGCUAUAGCAUUAUUCGACAUAGGUGCAUCCUAUUCAUGCAUCAGUGCAUUAUUUGCAAAAGCUCAUGGCAUUGAUGCAUUAUAUAGCCCGGAUUGUUGGUGGGUUGAGGCACCAGAACAUUCAUUUAGUGUUCACGAGGAGUGCUUGGCUUGCCUAGUUCAUAUAGGUGAUUGGAUUAUACUGGAAGAUUUGCUAGUGCUAAACCAAAUAUAGGGCUUCAAUGUAAUCUUGGGGAUCGAUUGGUUCUCCAAGUAUUAUGCAGUUAUUGAUUGUGAGAGCAAGGUGAUCACUUUCUAUGAGCCUAAUCAAGAGGAGUUAGUAUAUCGAGCAUAUAAAAGCUCGUGCCUCGCGGCGAUCGUAUCGACGGUGAGGGCGAGAAAAAUGAUUAAAGGCGGAUGUGUGGCCUAUUUGGCGAUGAUGGUAGAGACUCGAAGGGAGCACCUGGAACUUGGGGGCAUCCGACUAGCAUGCGAGUUUCCGGAUGUAUUUUCGGUGGAAUUACCGGGAUUGCCACCGGAUUGGGAGAUCGAGUUCGUCAUUGACUUGGUUCCCGGGGUGGUGCCAGUUUCGAAGGCUCCAUAUAGAAUGGCACCAGUGGAGCUAGUAGAGUUGAAGGCUCAGUUGCAAGAAUUGCUCGAUAAAGGCUUUGUGAGGCCAAGCGUGUCACCGUGGGGAGCUCCGGUGCUAUUUGUGAAGAAAAAGGAUGGCACACUUCGACUCUGCGUGGAUUAUCUUGAGUUGAACAAAGUGACAAUCAAGAACAAGUACCCGUUGCCGAGCAUUGAUGAUUUGUUCAAUCAGUUGCAAGGGUCGCGGGUAUAUUCGAAAAUUGAUCUCCAAUUGGGAUAUCAUCAGUUGAAGAUCCAGCCAAAGGAUGUGCACAAAGCGGCGUAUCGUACGCGGUAUGGCCACUACGAGUUCACGGUAAUGCCGUUUGGGCUUACUAAUGCCCCGGCAUUAUUUAUAGACUUGAUGAAUCGGGUCUUUCAACCAUUGUUGGAUCGAUGCGUCGUGGUGUUCAUUGACGACAUGUUGGUUUAUUCACGGAGCGAGGAGGAACACGAGGAACAUUUUAGGACCGUGUUGCAAAUACUCCAAAAAGACAAGCUUUAUGCCAAGUUAAAGAAAUGUGACUUUUGGCUUUUGGAUGUCAGUUUCUUAGGCCAUGUAAUAUCCGAGAGUGGUGUCUUGGUGGAUCCAAAGAAAGUUGAGGUAAUUAAGGAUUGGCCUCGCCCGACAAGUAUAGCGGAAGUCCGCAGUUUUCUUGGACUUGCGGGAUACUAUCGGCGGUUCGUGGAGGGGUUUGUCAAAAUAACCACUCCACUAACGCGCCUUACGCACAAACGAGUGAAGUAUGUUUGGAGCGACGAUUGCGAUCGGAGCUUCGAGGAGUUGAAAGAAAGGUUGACGUCGACCCCGGUGCUUGCUCUACCGACGCCGGGGGAGAGCUUUGUAGUGUACAGUGAUGCCUCGUAUAUUGGUCUCGGGUGUGUUUUGAUGCAAAAUGGGCGAGUCAUCAUAUAUGCUUCGCGCCAAUUGAAGAGUUAUGAAAAGAACUACCCGAUUCACAAUCUUAAGCUAGCCGCGGUGAUAUUCGCGCUAAAGUUGUGGAGGCAUUUCUUGUACGGUGAGCAUUGUGAGAUUUACACGGAUCAUAAGAAUCUCAAAUACUUGUUCACCCAUAAAGAAUUGAAUAUGCGACAGCGGCGGUGGUUAGAGUUGCUAAAAGAUUAUGAUGUUAUUAUUCUAUACCAUCCGGGAAAGGCCAAUGUCGUGGCCGAUGCACUAAGUAGAAAACCGGUGGAAAACUUGGCUACGGCAAUCACACCCCAACCGUCAUUGCAAAAAGAGAUGCAACUAUUUGGUCUAAAAGUAGUAGCUCCGGGAGUGCCAGCUACUCUUGCCGCAUUCGUUGUGCAACCAAUCUUGUUGGACAGGAUUAAAGAUCAACAAGCUUCUGAUCCAUACCUCCAAAAGGUGCAGGGUGAAGUUGAGAGCGGUAGUACUGAUGAUUUCAGUAUUGGGACCGAUGGCGCACUUCGAUUCCAAAAUCGUUGGUGUGUGCUUAAAAAUGAAGACAUUUGAAAGGCGAUUAUGCAAGAAGCGCAUCAAUCUCCCUAUAGCAUACCCGAGCGGCACUAAGAUGUAUCAAGAUUUGAAAUUGCAUUAUUGGUGGCCGGGCAUGAAGAAAGAUAUUGGGGAGUUCGUAGCGCAAUGUCUCACGUGCCAACAAGUAAAAGCGGAGCGCUGGUUUCUGGUGGAAAAGCUUCAAAGUUAAUCUAUACCCGUUUGGAAAUGGGAAGAUAUUGCAAUGGAUUUUGUGACCGGUUUCUCUCGAUCUCAAGCCGGGCAUUAUGCGAUUUAGGUGGUUGUGGACCGGUUGACGAAGUCGGCACAUUUUUUGCCGGUCCACACCACAUGCUCCGAAAACAAAUUGGCUCAAGUGUAUCUCGAUAAGGUUGUGAGACUACAUGGGGUUCCGGUGUCCAUUGUAUCGGAUCGAGAGCCUAGAUUCACAUCACACUUUUGGAAUAGCUUACAAAACGCAUUGGCCACACGGCUCGAUUUUAGCACGACAUUUCAUCCUCAAAGUGAUGACCAAUCGGAGAGAACAAUACAAAUUCUUGAGGACAUGCUUCGAGCGUGUGUACUUGAUUAUAAGGGCGGACGACACGAUUAUUUACCGAUGGCGGAAUUCGCGUACAACAAUAGCUACCAAGAGAGUAUCGCGAUGGCACCAUUCAAGGCCCUUUAUGGAAAGAAGUGUCGCUCUCCUAUUCAUUGGAGAGAUGUGGGCGAGAAAGUUACUCUUGGCCCUGAUGUGGUGCGGGAGGCGGAAGAGAAAGUUCACCUUGCCCGCCAACGACUUGCGACGGUGCAAUCUCGGCAAAAGUGCUAUGCCGACAAGCGGAGAAAGGAUUUAUAGUUCGCGGUUGGAGAGCGCAUAUUUUUUAAAGUAUCGCCGAUGUAAGGAGUAAAGCAGUUUGGAGUCCGUGGGAAAUAAAGUCCCCGGUAUGUUAGACCGUUCGAGAUAUUGGAGCGGGUCGGUGUGCUAUUGAACAGGGGGUGUGCCAGUGAUGCCCUCCCACAUACCGGUACGCAGGCUGCGAAACAGCAGGUUGAGUCUGCUGCUGUCACGCCCGGGUACCAGCGGAAGCAUAUCCGAUACGUGCACAGACCCGCCAUACACCUGCAGUAUAUAAGGCGUCUACAAGCAACAAGUCGAUAGGAAGUAAAACAAGAAAGUCCUAUCCUGAUAUCAGAGCAAAGUACAAGUCGAUAUACAACGAGUAUCCAAUCCAAGUCAAUAUACAAAGAGUAUACAAUCCAAGAUCUCAGCAAAAAAGAGAAGUAACACCACUAUAAUCUCAACCCCGCAAGUAAAAAUACAUCANGCCACGUUUCUGCAUUGUGUACCGGUACAAGCGAAUGGCUGUACCGGUACAGCAAGCAGAAAAAGCUGAUUUUCGCCGGUUCAAUGCAAUUUCUUGUUUCCAACGUUCCGAUCACUCUCAAACUUAUGUGUAAACAUCUUUAAACCAUUAUGAACAUGUGGGAGGGUUGCACAUAUCAUUCCUCACACUCGAAUUUCGCAAUUUGCAAAAAUUCAGUGUAUUACAGCUGCAAAUAAAAGAGAGUGGAGGGCUUGGUUGCAAUUGUAGCAGCUUAUAAAUAUACCCCAACCCUUUCCCUCUUGUUCACAGCAGUGAACACCUCCUCCUCUCUCAUUUCUCUCUCUCUCUCUCUAGAAGCUCCCCCCAAGGUUAAAGAAGGAGAUCAAGAGCAAGAUUUGGAGGAGAUUUGGACUUUUGGAGGAUCUAGGGCUCUCCUAAAAGGUGGAGCUUGGUGGGCAUCUAGGCUAAGGUGAGGUUUCUUGUAAGAACUAGGCUAGGGUUUGGUUUUAUACCCUAGAACACUUGGUUUUGAUCUUCUUACAUGAGAGGAAACCUAGUAGAGAUCAUGGAACUCAUGAAAAUCCAUGUUUCUUCAUGAGCUCUCAUGGUAAAAAUCUAGGGUUUGUUUUAUAUGCCCUAAGAAUGGUUUAAAUGACCUAGAAAUGGUUCUAUAUAAGUUUCUAGAUGAUGAUUAAGCUUGCUUUAGCUUAUAUUAGAGAUUAGAUUGGUGUAUUGGGCAAAUGACAUUGUUAGGGCACCAAAAUUGGAAUUUUUGCCCUAAGCUGGUUUAAAGGUAAAUUGACCUUAUAGAGAUCAAAUUGGGAAUAUUUCCAACUCGUUGGAAGACUCGGUUCGCCGAUUCGACGAGUCUACGCAAAGUUAUAAGGAAAAAGCCUAAUUUGGCUUCGUUUUGCCGCAGGCGAGAGAAUAGGCGCCCAAAAAUCACGAAACUUGAACCGUAGCACCUUUACAACCAUACGAAGUAGGUGGUGCUUUCUGAAAUCCUCGAAUUUUUUUUUAUAUGUAAAAUGUCAUUUCUUGAGCAUAUGCGUAUAUUGAGCAUUAUGCAUUGUAGGGUAAGUAUAUAUGAUUGCAUGAUUUAAGUAUAAGAUGCAUAUAAAAUGUUGUGAAUUCUUGAGAACGUGUAAAACCCUAUGUAUGCAUGAAUGGUGACAAAGGCCUAGAUGACAUUGAGAACAAAUGACAUUAUGACAUCGAUAGUAGAGUGACAUCAAUAAGUUUUGUGACAUUAUGACAUCGAUAGUCGAGUGCAUCAAUGAGUUUUGAAUGUUAGUGUACAGUGUGGCAUUAAUGAGUAUUGAAUGCUAGAAAUAAACACUUAGUGUGUGUGGCAUUAACGAGUCAAGAAUGCAUGAGAUUGAGUAUAAAGAACAUGUAGUGUAUAUGACACUAAUAAAAGUUAAAGAAUGCAAGAAAAUGGCAUAUAUGGCAUAACAACCUCAAAGUUGAGGCAUCCAUAUAGUUAAAGAACGGAUUGAACUUGGCAUCCUUAAAGUUAAGGUUAGAUCAUACUCAUCUAUAAGUCUUGGCUUGAGGGUGGUCGCACCUCCUCGAGCGAUGAGCUCCGAAGUAGUCAUCACUGGAUUGUAGCGAGUAUCUCCCCAAGGGACGGUCUCGUCGGGUCGAAGCAAGUAUCUCCCCGAUAGUACGGAUUUGAGUUGGUGAGUCUAUUGAGGGCGAAACCAAUGAGUUAGCCAAGAGGAUUAAGAAUUGAAAAGUAAUCUUGCAUUCAUCAUGAGAAUUCUAUUUGAGCAUAGCAUGGAUUAUAUCUUGUUCAGGCAUAUUAGCUGCAUUUGUUUAGUUAGUUACUAUCUAUCUCUAUUCUUCUAUUAUGCCUGAUUUAGACCUAGUGAGAAAGUCGGUGAGGUCGACGGCCGAACCCACUGGGAAUCUUGUUGUAGUUCUCACCCUACUAUUUCCACAGAGCCGGGACUGAGUGAGCCGGCCGACGAUCGCGGUAAAGGUAUCGUGCCAUAGACAGUGGCCACCCGAGUUGGUUUCAUAUUUUGCUUAGUUGCAUACCCUUUUUAUAUCAUCUUUUGUCUUUGAUGAUGUUAGUAUUAUGAACAUGAUAAAUGAUGUAAAGAGAGCUUAUGGUUUAAUAUAAAAAGCUUGUAUUUUGGAGGAAAUAUUAUGCUUAUUUUGAGAUCAUGUGAUGUAUAAAAGAAAUGAUGAAAAGAAUGUGAAUGUAAGAGUUGAAUGCAUGUAAGUGAUUGAAAGUUAAUCAUUGUACUUGUAUAAUGUGCAGUUUAGUACUUUCACUU
Molecule: long non-coding RNA, 7858 nt
Filed under: Ananas comosus (pineapple)
Lineage: Eukaryota; Viridiplantae; Streptophyta; Magnoliopsida; Poales; Bromeliaceae
Description: long non-coding RNA (ACOM_LNC024233)
Source: RNAcentral